This 369-nucleotide ribosomal RNA is filed under the name uncultured bacterium. RNAcentral's name for it is "bacterial SSU rRNA". It matches the Rfam family "Bacterial small subunit ribosomal RNA", at positions 29 to 426 of the family's 1533-position model. The record is from RNAcentral.
AACGAACGCUGGCGGCAUGCCUAACACAUGCAAGUCGAACGAGACCUUCGGGUCUAGUGGCGCACGGGUGCGUAACGCGUGGGAAUCUGCCUUUAGGUUCGGAAUAACAGUUAGAAAUGACUGCUAAUACCGGAUAAUGACUUCGGUCCAAAGAUUUAUCGCCUAAGGAUGAGCCCGCGUAAGAUUAGCUAGUUGGUGAGGUAAAAGCUCACCAAGGCGACGAUCUUUAGCUGGCUGAGAGGAUGAUCAGCCACACUGGGACUGAGACACGGCCCAGACUCCUACGGGAGGCAGCAGUGGGGAAUAUUGGACAAUGGGCGAAAGCCUGAUCCAGCAAUGCCGCGUGAGUGAUGAAGGCCUUAGGGUUGU